This 1981-nucleotide long non-coding RNA is filed under the name Homo sapiens (human). RNAcentral describes it as "HSALNT0329510". The record is from RNAcentral. Lineage: Eukaryota; Metazoa; Chordata; Mammalia; Primates; Hominidae.
AAGAAAAGAGGUUUAUUGGCUCAUGGUUCUACAGGCUGUACAGGAAGUGUAGUGGCUUCCAUUUCUGGAGAGGCCUCAGGAAACUAUGAAUCAUGGCUAAAGGCAAAGGGGAAGCAAGCACAUCUUACAUGGCUGGAGAAGGAGCAAGAGCAAGAGAACGAGACAGUGAGAGAGACAGAGAGAGAGAGAGAGAGGAGGUGCUACAUUUUCUUUUUGAGACAGGUCUCUGUCACCCAGGCUGGUGUGCAGUGACACAGUCUUGGCUCACUGCAGCCUCCACUUCCCGGGCUCAGGCAAUUCUCCAACCUCAGCCUCCUGAGUAGCUGGGACUACAGGAGUGAGCCACUAUGCCCAGUUAAUUUUUGUAGUUUUUGUAGGGAUGAGGUUUCACCAUAUUGCCUAGGCUGGUCUUGAACUCCUGAGCUCAAAGCAAUCCGCCCGCCUCAGCCUCCCAAAGUGUAUACACACUUUUAAACAACCGGAUCUCACAAUAACUCACUAUCAAGAGAACAGCACCAAGGGAAUGGUGCUAAACCAUUCAUGAAGGACCGCCUCCAUUAUAUGAUCUAAUCACCGACUACCAGGCCCAUGACCAACACUGAAGAUUACAAUUUGACAUGAGAUUUGGUGGGGACACAGAUCCAAACUAUAUCACACUGUGACUGGUAUUGUUUUAAAAAAAUUAUCAGGACCAUUUUGAAAUUUGGGUAAGGCUGCCCGAAGAAAAAUUUGCAAAUCCGUUUUAGAGGAUACAAACAUCAUGAUUUUAUAUUACAAAUGUGAACAAAAGUUCCCUGGAAGAAAGAGACUUUAUUCCAGUGAAUAGUUUGCAAACUAGGGAGUCCAACACAGCCUUCAAUGUAAAAGGAAGGUGCGGUCCAAAGAACAAAGGAAGGGUUCUAGCUUUAUAGCAAAAGUUCCUGCCCUGGUUCCCAAUCAGGUGCACUGAUACAAAUGAGAUGGAAACACAGUUCUGAUUGGUUGAUACAACUGAGCAGCAAGGGAGGUGGGCUCUGAUUGGCUGGUUCAGGUGAGCUCUGAAAGUUCCAAAGUUAAAGAGGUGUGGGUUUUCAGGGAACUCAAAAUAGGUGUGUGGCCUCUAGUCACCAAAUGGCUUCUUGGCUCUGCUUUAAAUUUAGGCCCACUCAGCCACUUAAGAUCCAUCUUGAAGGACUGGCUCUUUCAGGGUCACAUUUGUUCAUGCAAACUAUUGAUAUUGCAUGCUAUUUACCACUAUUUCAGAUGAAAUUGCCACAGGAUAUAAAUCAUUGGACUAUUUAAGAGAGCAAAGGCUUUUGGAAGCUGCCACAGUUUCAUUCCCAGGUCCUCCACUUACCAGCAAUGAGACUUCAUGUGACCUCAGCAUCUAACCAGAGUACGCUGGUCGUAACUGGAAAACCAACAGAGGCCAGGUGCGGUGGCUCAUACCUGCAAUCCCAGCACUUUGGGAGGCCGAGGCGGGUGGAUCACGUGAGGUCACGAGUUCGAGACCAGCCUGACCAACAUGGUAAAACCUCAUCUCUACUAAAGAAAAUACAACAUGGGGCAUGUGCCUCUGUAAUCCCAGCCACCUGGGAGGCUGAGGCAGGAAAAUCUCAUCAACCCGGGAGGCGGAGGUUACAGUGAGCUGAGAUCGUGCCACUGCUCUCCAGGCUGGAUGAGUGAGACUCUGUCUCAAAAAAAAAAAAAAAAAAAGGUAGAUGAGUUUUAAAGGCACAGUGCUUUUGGCCUUCUUCAGUCCAACAGCACAAGGCACACAAAGUAUCAAUGCCAUAUGAAGUCCUACUAUUAGACCUCAGGCCUCUAAUAGCACCGCUACUGUUUGUCACUGUAACAAUCCUAAAGUACAACCUGACUCCUGAGCUGCUCCUGAUGUAGUAAAGGUUCCACCCUGUGUAGUCCUGCAUGGUGACAGAUACACCAUAACAGAGUCCUUAUUAAAAAGGCCCACAAGUGCCACAGGCCUGAGCGUAUCUAUCAG